UACGGAGGGUGCGAGCGUUGUCCGGAAUCACUGGGCGUAAAGGGCGCGUAGGCGGCUUGGGAAGUCCGUGGUGAAAGCCCGAGGCUCAACUUCGGGUCGGCCAUGGAUACUCCUAAGCUCGAGUCGACUAGAGGCUAAUGGAAUUCCGGGUGUAGCGGUGGAAUGCGUAGAGAUCCGGAAGAACACCGGUGGCGAAGGCGGUCUGCUGGGCAGUAGCUGACACUGAGGCGCGACAGCGUGGGGAGCAAACAGG
This 253-nucleotide ribosomal RNA is filed under the name uncultured bacterium. RNAcentral's name for it is "partial 16S ribosomal RNA". It matches the Rfam family "Bacterial small subunit ribosomal RNA", at positions 524 to 776 of the family's 1533-position model. The record is from RNAcentral.